AGAAAUCUACAAGACUGGGAGCUGGAUGAGUUUCAAAGGUUAAUGGAGUUUCUCUACAGGGAAAUCAGGUCUCACUCCAAUAAUGACUCAUGGAGAUGGGCGCUGAGAGUGAUAGUUUAUUCUUAGUCAAAUCUCUUUACUAGAGUUUGUGGGUGAGAGAGGAGACACACUUCCCACAUUCAUUGACUUGGAUUCCUAGGGCGAAUAAGAAGGAGUUUUUUUGCCAGGCUGGCAACAAGGGGAGCAAUUCUGACAACUGAGAAUCUGAAGAAGAGAAAUAUUACUUAUCUAGGUGGUGUUAUAUGUGUAAAUGUUCGGGCAAAGAAGUUAAUCAUAUUUUGGUGCAUUGUAAGGUGGUGUCAGGUUUGUGGAGGGUGAUCUUGAAUUGUUUUGGCAUACAGUGGGUGAUGCCAUGUUUUUUUUGAUAAUGGUAACUAGUGGGUGAUGCCAUGCAUAGCUGUGCUGGCAGACGUAGGAGUAGAAGA
Molecule: long non-coding RNA, 485 nt
Filed under: Solanum tuberosum (potato)
Lineage: Eukaryota; Viridiplantae; Streptophyta; Magnoliopsida; Solanales; Solanaceae
Description: long non-coding RNA (STUB_LNC005081)
Source: RNAcentral